Molecule: transfer RNA, 78 nt
Filed under: Streptomyces griseorubens
Lineage: Bacteria; Bacillati; Actinomycetota; Actinomycetes; Kitasatosporales; Streptomycetaceae
Description: tRNA-His
Source: RNAcentral
UCGGCCGGAGCGGCCGGCACCACCGGGUCGGCCAGUGCGGCCGGAGCUACCGGUGGUUCUGCUACCGCCCGGCCGGGC